CCUACGGGAGGCAGCAGUGGGGAAUUUUGCGCAAUGGGGGAAACCCUGACGCAGCAACGCCGCGUGCGGGACGAAGGCCUUCGGGUUGUAAACCGCUUUCAGCAGGGACGAAUUCCGACGGUACCUGCAGAAGAAGCCCCGGCUAACUACGUGCCAGCAGCCGCGGUAAUACGUAGGGGGCGAGCGUUAUCCGGAUUCAUUGGGCGUAAAGCGCGCGUAGGCGGCGCGUCAAGCGGGACCUCUAACCCCGGGGCUCAACCCCGGGCCGGGUCCCGGACUGGCGCGCUCGAGUGCGGUAGAGGCGAGUGGAAUUCCCGGUGUAGCGGUGGAAUGCGCAGAUAUCGGGAAGAACACCGAUGGCGAAGGCAGCUCGCUGGGCCGACACUGACGCUGAGGCGCGAAAGCUGGGGGAGCGAACAGGAUUAGAUACCCCAGUAGUC
RNAcentral lists this ribosomal RNA (440 nucleotides) under uncultured bacterium. RNAcentral describes it as "partial 16S ribosomal RNA". It matches the Rfam family "Bacterial small subunit ribosomal RNA", at positions 338 to 795 of the family's 1533-position model. The record is from RNAcentral.